Long non-coding RNA from Mustela lutreola (European mink), 1754 nucleotides. RefSeq lists it as uncharacterized. NCBI's taxonomy places the organism in Eukaryota, Metazoa, Chordata, Mammalia, Carnivora, Mustelidae. The transcript is spliced from 3 exons. The record is from RefSeq and is a predicted model, not a curated record.
GUGGCCACUGCGCAGGCGCCGGGCAGCUCGCCGCACUCCCGCUGCGUUUUUCCAAAAGUUGCAGUCCAGAGGGUGGACCACCAUCCAGCGCAGCUGCACACAACAGAGAAGGGAAAAGAAAACUCCCCGGGGGCUCCGCUGGCUUCUCUGAGAGUGACAGAGAUGCUUUCCCACUAGAAGCCCGGAAGCCUCCUCCUUUGCAAUCGGAUGAGGGCUGCAGUGUGCACCACUCAUUCUUAUAAAGCCCCUGCUAGGAAGAGCCAGUUGUGUUUGGGCCCGCGGUGCCUGGCCAUCCCCUUCCAGGCUGGAUUCUGCAGAGAUUUGUUUUCCAUCUUCUGGGUGCCUCCACCUGCACCUCUGCUCCUCCUCCCUGCCGGAUGGCCCCUGGUGAGUUCCUGAGUCAGCAAGGCUAUCAAGAAACCCGCAGAGGAGCAGCCAGACCCUUCUCUACUCUAAAAUGCCAGUUGAUUCCUAUCUAGGAGCAAAAGCCAAAGUUUCUACAUUGUGAAUAAAUUAGAAUAAAGGCAUUCAGGCUUCAGGAUGGAUGAUGAACUUUCAAAUAGGAAAGAGAUGGAAAAUCAUCAAAAUUACCAUAAACUGUGCUGCCAACUGAAUGCGUGUUUCUCUGUAGCAUAUGCAGAGUCGAGGACAGUUAUAUUCCCACAUUAUACAGUCUGCUAACCUAUUGUCUUAAUCCAGGUGACUCUUGAAAGUAGAGCCUGAGACAAAGGUAGAUGCAUACUCUAUAGGUGAAUGUGAUUCCAGGGAGCAGGAAUGAAAGAAAAAGGAGUGAACACGGGUAAAAUGGAAAGAAAAUCCAGGCAAAAUAGGUAGUGUUAUAGAGUAGUCUACCACAGUUAAUGGGUACUUCGCACAUGCAGAUCCUUCUAGAGAUUCUUACUCAGUUUUGUCUCAGAGUUGCCCACCCCUGAAGGAUGAAAGGGAGAAGCAUUUCUCUCUCCGCAGCCAUCUCCUCCUUGCCGAGGGCUGCUCCCAUAGGGUGUUAACGUCUCCAUCCCUGUGGGCUGCAAAGGUGGAAGAGCCUUUGGGUACCAGAGUAUCAUACAUUGCCACACCAGAGGAGCCUUAGGACAGGAAGCUAGAUUCUUGGAGCAUACCUGAAGCAAGGCACUAUCAGCACCAAGCAAGGCGAAACCUCCUCCAAACUAUUCACCAGAGCUGUGGCUGGAAUUGGAGGUUACAGAGAGAUGUGGAACAGGCAUCUCGUAAGUCUAUAGAAGGUGUUCUUAUCCUCGUCUAAAUCUGUAUCCUCCUUCUAUAAUCAAAAUUUCAGUUUCCAGCAUCUGGGUGGUUCAUUCGGUUAAGUGUCUGCCUUCAGCUCAGGUCAUGAUCUUGGGGCCAUGGGAUCAAGCCCUACAUCAGGCUCUGUGUUCAGCAUGGAGUCUGCUUGUCCCUCUCCUCCCUGGCUCAUGUGUGCUCUCUUUCUGUCUCUCAAACAAAUAAAUAAAAUCUUAAAAAAAAAAAAAAAAAGUCCAGAACAAGGUUAGCAAAAGGCUUAAAUUAGAAGGUUAAAGGUAUUAGACGAUGUAUGUUAAUAAUCAUUCUAACCUGGAGUGAUGUUGAUUAGAAAUUGAUAGGAGAACUUGGAAGAUUCAAAAAUGAUUCAACUUGAAAAAUUGGACCAUUGGAUAGAGAUAUUAGACUUUGCUGAAACUCAUGUAAUCUCAGAAACAAUCAUGAAUUGUUUGGGGGGAAAUGGAAAAAUAAAAUUAACCAUUUAUGUGUCUCUGUGA